CCGGUACCUUGCACUUAGUUGGAUGAGCCUAUGUCGGUAUUAGUUAGUUGGGUAGGGGUAAACGGCCUAACCGAAGGCAGCGACUCCGUAGCGUGGUUCUUAGGAGGAUGAUCACGCCACACCGGGGACUGAGACACGGCCCGAACUCCUACGGGAGGCAGCAGUGGGGAAUAUUGCACAAUGGGCGCAAGCCUGAUGCAGCUAUGCCGCGUGUGUGAAGAAGGCCUUAGGGUUGUAAAGCACUUUCAGUAGUGAGGAAAAGUGUUGCGUUAAUAGCGCAAUGCUGUGACGUUAGCUACAGAAGAAGGACCGGCAAACUCCGUG
This 324-nucleotide ribosomal RNA is filed under the name uncultured bacterium. Its description in RNAcentral is "bacterial SSU rRNA". It matches the Rfam family "Bacterial small subunit ribosomal RNA", at positions 202 to 507 of the family's 1533-position model. The record is from RNAcentral.